UCUCCGUUGGUGAACCAGCGGAGGGAUCAUUACAGGACUCGCAAGACUCCCGUAAACCACUGUGAACCUACUACUGUUGCCUCGGCGGGUGCUCGAGCUCAGCGCUCAGCCCGCCGGUGGCCCCCUACUCUGACUCACUGCGUUGGCAUCUCAGAGUGCAUACAAAUAAGUUAAAACUUUCAACAACGGAUCUCUUGGUUCUGGCAUCGAUGAAGAACGCAGC
Molecule: unclassified non-coding RNA, 223 nt
Filed under: uncultured fungus
Lineage: Eukaryota; Fungi
Description: sequence contains ITS1, 5.8S rRNA gene
Rfam family: 5.8S ribosomal RNA (bases 175-223)
Source: RNAcentral